GGUGGUGUAGCUCGUGGUAGAGUGUAUACUUAACAUGUGCAGAGUCCUGGGUUCAAUCCCUAGCACCCUG
Molecule: transfer RNA, 70 nt
Filed under: Marmota monax (woodchuck)
Lineage: Eukaryota; Metazoa; Chordata; Mammalia; Rodentia; Sciuridae
Description: tRNA.Val
Source: RNAcentral